RNAcentral lists this ribosomal RNA (729 nucleotides) under Bacillus anthracis (anthrax bacterium). Its description in RNAcentral is "bacterial SSU rRNA". It matches the Rfam family "Bacterial small subunit ribosomal RNA", at positions 49 to 758 of the family's 1533-position model. The record is from RNAcentral. Lineage: Bacteria; Bacillati; Bacillota; Bacilli; Caryophanales; Bacillaceae.
CUAUACAUGCAAGUCGAGCGAAUGGAUUAAGAGCUUGCUCUUAUGAAGUUAGCGGCGGACGGGUGAGUAACACGUGGGUAACCUGCCCAUAAGACUGGGAUAACUCCGGGAAACCGGGGCUAAUACCGGAUAACAUUUUGAACCGCAUGGUUCGAAAUUGAAAGGCGGCUUCGGCUGUCACUUAUGGAUGGACCCGCGUCGCAUUAGCUAGUUGGUGAGGUAACGGCUCACCAAGGCAACGAUGCGUAGCCGACCUGAGAGGGUGAUCGGCCACACUGGGACUGAGACACGGCCCAGACUCCUACGGGAGGCAGCAGUAGGGAAUCUUCCGCAAUGGACGAAAGUCUGACGGAGCAACGCCGCGUGAGUGAUGAAGGCUUUCGGGUCGUAAAACUCUGUUGUUAGGGAAGAACAAGUGCUAGUUGAAUAAGCUGGCACCUUGACGGUACCUAACCAGAAAGCCACGGCUAACUACGUGCCAGCAGCCGCGGUAAUACGUAGGUGGCAAGCGUUAUCCGGAAUUAUUGGGCGUAAAGCGCGCGCAGGUGGUUUCUUAAGUCUGAUGUGAAAGCCCACGGCUCAACCGUGGAGGGUCAUUGGAAACUGGGAGACUUGAGUGCAGAAGAGGAAAGUGGAAUUCCAUGUGUAGCGGUGAAAUGCGUAGAGAUAUGGAGGAACACCAGUGGCGAAGGCGACUUUCUGGUCUGUAACUGACACUGAGGCGCGAAA